Long non-coding RNA from Panthera uncia (snow leopard), 827 nucleotides. RefSeq lists it as uncharacterized. The transcript is spliced from 5 exons. Lineage: Eukaryota; Metazoa; Chordata; Mammalia; Carnivora; Felidae. The record is from RefSeq and is a predicted model, not a curated record.
GCACCUUUGUUUGAACCCACAUCUUCUGCAAAGAACACCUUGAAAACAAAUCAAGAAAAAGGACUGUAAUCGCAGGCGACAACCGGAGAAGAGCGACAACAGCAAUCAUUCAACAGCGAUGCCAUCAACGGAAUGACAUGAUAGGACAAUCCUGGGAAGAGUCUCUAAGUCUGGAAAGUCUAAAGAUAUACUUUGGCACAUCAGACUCAAGCAUGCGGUCUCCUGAAGUGUGAUGUUGGAAGAACCAGAACUAAUGCUACGAACGUAGCGGGGAAUUGGUCCAGAUGCUUGGGAGACUCACUUAUUUGCAGGUUAGAGAGGCUAUUGAUGAAGGAAGGGGACAGCGUCUGCUCAAGCGCACGAUGCGGAGACACAGAAGUAACCGGGUUAUACCUGGUCGGGUGGUCAGUCCUCGGUCGGCAGCAGGGCGGGCGUCGACAGGCUCAACUGGGCACAGGAAGCAAGAAACACGGAAAGCAAACAAGACAAAUCAAGAUGAUGACAUACAGCUGAAAUGUGUGCGAUGAUGGCUUUGGGAUCAGCAAUUUCAAUGAGACCACACAGCUUACUGGUGCACACAGCCCAGCCAUUCCAAGGUGGGAUUACAAACCCAAAUUGAUUCUGAACGUCACAUGUUGGCAGAACAGCGAGGGAGAAGGAAGUGGCAGCAAGUCAAGCCUUCAAAAUAUGAAAAAAUCAGGCUGCUGAGAAUUCUGAGACAUUUGGAUGAAACAAAAAGAGCAGCGUGGGCUGGUCCUUCAUCAUGCAGACCGGCAACAUGGUGAAGGGGGAGAUGGAGGUGUCUAAACCCAACGUUCACGAUGGAA